Molecule: ribosomal RNA, 253 nt
Filed under: uncultured bacterium
Lineage: Bacteria
Description: partial 16S ribosomal RNA
Rfam family: Bacterial small subunit ribosomal RNA
Source: RNAcentral
UCCGGAGGGUGCGAGCGUUGUUCGGAAUCACUGGGCGUAAAGGGCGUGUAGGCGGUCCGCUAAGUCUGAUGUGAAAGCCCGGGGCUCACCCCCGGAAGGGCAUUGGAAACUGGCGGACUCGAGUCUCGGAGAGGAAGGUGGAAUUCCUGGUGUAGCGGUGAAAUGCGUAGAUAUCAGGAGGAAUACCGGUGGCGAAGGCGGCCUUCUGGACGAUGACUGACGCUGAGACGCGAAAGCGUGGGGAGCAAACAGG